This 253-nucleotide ribosomal RNA is filed under the name uncultured bacterium. RNAcentral's name for it is "partial 16S ribosomal RNA". It matches the Rfam family "Bacterial small subunit ribosomal RNA", at positions 524 to 776 of the family's 1533-position model. The record is from RNAcentral.
UACAGAGGUCUCAAGCGUUGUUCGGAUUCAUUGGGCGUAAAGGGUGCGUAGGUGGCGAGGAAAGUCGGAUGUGAAAGCUCGGAGCUCAACUCCGAAAUGGCAUUGGAAACUACCUUGCUCGAGGGUUGGAGGGGGGACUGGAAUUCUCGGUGUAGCAGUGAAAUGCGUAGAUAUCGAGAGGAACACCAGUGGCGAAGGCGAGUCCCUGGACAACUCCUGACACUGAGGCACGAAAGCUAGGGGAGCAAACAGG